AACGAACGCUGGCGGCGUGGAUAAGACAUGCAAGUCGAACGCUUAUCUUCCGGUAGCAAUAUUGGAAGGUAGGAGUGGCGCAAGGGUGCGUAACACGUGGAUCAUCUGCCUGGAAGUUCGGAAUAAUUCGGCGAAAGCCGGACUAAUGCCGGAUGUGGUUGGAAGACUAAAGCUGGGGACCGCAAGGCCUGGCGCUUCCAGAUGAGUCCNCGGCCUAUCAGCAGUUGGCGGGGUAAUGGCCCACCAAGGCUAAGACGGGUAGCUGGUCUGAGAGGACGACCAGCCUCACUGGAACUGAGACACGGUCCAGACACCUACGGGUGGCAGCAGUCGAGAAUUUUUCUCAAUGGGCGAAAGCCUGAAGGAGCGACGCCGCGUGGGGGAGUGAAGGGCUUCGGCCCGGUAAACUUUCGAAAGAAUGGGAAGAAUCAAUGACGGUACCAUUUAU
This 448-nucleotide ribosomal RNA is filed under the name uncultured bacterium. RNAcentral's name for it is "bacterial SSU rRNA". It matches the Rfam family "Bacterial small subunit ribosomal RNA", at positions 29 to 485 of the family's 1533-position model. The record is from RNAcentral.